RNAcentral lists this ribosomal RNA (253 nucleotides) under uncultured bacterium. RNAcentral's name for it is "partial 16S ribosomal RNA". It matches the Rfam family "Bacterial small subunit ribosomal RNA", at positions 524 to 776 of the family's 1533-position model. The record is from RNAcentral.
UACGUAGGGUGCAAGCGUUAAUCGGAAUUACUGGGCGUAAAGCGUGCGCAGGCGGUUUUGUAAGUCAGAUGUGAAAUCCCCGGGCUCAACCUGGGAACUGCAUUUGUGACUGCAUAGCUAGAGUACGGUAGAGGGGGAUGGAAUUCCGCGUGUAGCAGUGAAAUGCGUAGAUAUGCGGAGGAACACCGAUGGCGAAGGCAAUCCCCUGGACCUGUACUGACGCUCAUGCACGAAAGCGUGGGGAGCAAACAGG